UGAUCAACAUUCCUGGUUUGCCUGGGACUGAGGGGGGUCCGAGGACACAGGAA
This 53-nucleotide microRNA precursor is filed under the name Vicugna pacos (alpaca). Its description in RNAcentral is "miRNA (ENSVPAG00000017430.1)". The record is from RNAcentral. Lineage: Eukaryota; Metazoa; Chordata; Mammalia; Artiodactyla; Camelidae.